This is a non-coding RNA of Acanthosepion pharaonis, 97 nucleotides long. Lineage: Eukaryota; Metazoa; Mollusca; Cephalopoda; Sepiida; Sepiidae. The record is from the annotation of a GenBank genome assembly.
UGAAACACUUUCUCUCGUUCGAUCCCCGAAAUUAAGCGUCAUCGAGCCGGGUUAGUACUUAGAACUGUGACCGCUUGGGAAUACGAGGUACUGUAAG